GACGAACGCUGGCGGCGUGCUUAACACAUGCAAGUCGAACGGAAAGGCCCUGCUUUUGUGGGGUGCUCGAGUGCCGAACGGGUGAGUAACACGUGAGUAACCUGCCCUUGACUUUGUGAUAACUUCAGGAAACUGGGGCUAAUACCGGAUAGGAGCUCCUGCUGCAUGGUGGGGGUUGGAAAGUUUCGGCUGUUGGGGAUGGACUCGCGGCUUAUCAGCUUGUUGGUGGGGUAGUGGCUUACAAAGGCUUUGACGGGUAGCCGGCCUGAGAGGGUGACCGACCACAUUGGGACUGCGAUACGGCCCAGACUCCUACGGGAGGCAGCAGUGGGGAAUCUUGCACAAUGGGCGGAAGCCUGAUGCAGCAACGCCGCGUGCGGGAUGACGGCCUUCGGGUUGUAAACCGCUGUCGCCUGUGACGAAGCGUGAGUGACGGUAAUGGGUAAAGAAGCACCGGCUAACUACGUG
Molecule: ribosomal RNA, 468 nt
Filed under: uncultured bacterium
Lineage: Bacteria
Description: partial 16S ribosomal RNA
Rfam family: Bacterial small subunit ribosomal RNA
Source: RNAcentral